This 553-nucleotide ribosomal RNA is filed under the name Botryosphaeria dothidea. RNAcentral describes it as "eukaryotic LSU rRNA". The stretch from base 197 to 351 matches the Rfam family "5.8S ribosomal RNA". The record is from RNAcentral. Lineage: Eukaryota; Fungi; Ascomycota; Dothideomycetes; Botryosphaeriales; Botryosphaeriaceae.
AGGAUCAUUACCGAGGUGUGAUUCGGGCUCCGGCCCGAUCCUCCCACCUUUUCGGUGUACUUAAUCUCUGUUGGUUUGGCGGGUCGCGGUCUUCUGCGGCCGCCUUUUUUCCUCGGGGGGGUGGCCAGCGCUCGCCAGAGGACCAUCAAACUCCAGUCAGUAAACGAUGCAGUCUGAAAAACAUUUAAUAAACUAAAACUUUUAACAAACGGAUCUCUUGGUUCUGGCAUCGAUGAAGAACGCAGCGAAAUGCGAUAAGUAAUGUGAAUUGCAGAAUUCAGUGAAUCAUCGAAUCUUUGAACGCACAUUGCGCCCUUUGGUAUUCCGAAGGGCAUGCCUGUUCGAGCGUCAUUACAACCCUCAAGCUCUGCUUGGUAUUGGGCACCGUCCUUUGCGGGCGCGCCUCAAAGACCUCGGCGGUGGCGUCUUGCCUCAAGCGUAGUAGAACAUACAUCUCGCUUCGGAGCGCAGGGCGUCGCCCGCCGGACGAACCUUUCUGAACUUUUUCUCAAGGUUGACCUCGGAUCAGGUAGGGAUACCCGCUGUAACUUAA